GCCCGCGUAGCUCAACGAAUAGAGUGCUUGCUGCGGAGCGGGAGGUCGAAAGGUUCAUAUCCUUUCGCGGGCA
Molecule: transfer RNA, 73 nt
Filed under: Arthrobacter sp. IMM11
Lineage: Bacteria; Bacillati; Actinomycetota; Actinomycetes; Micrococcales; Micrococcaceae
Description: tRNA-Arg
Rfam family: tRNA
About the family: Transfer RNA (tRNA) molecules are approximately 80 nucleotides in length. Their secondary structure includes four short double-helical elements and three loops (D, anti-codon, and T loops).
Source: RNAcentral